GCGCCGGUGGUCUAGUGGCCAUGAUUCGAGCCUUCCAAGCUCGCGACCCGGGUUCAACAUUUUGGCGGUCCGCUCUUGGAAAUCUUUGAUUUCCAAGCCUUCAAGCAAAAACUUGAAGCAAACCCCAUGUGCAAUGUGAGACAUUCGCUUCGCGAAGUCUCACGGAACGACCUUUGGAGAAGAAGCCCCACAUUGCGUAGGGGUGUGGCAGGCUGCCACAAAGGAAAGUCCCGGCCGGCGCA
This 242-nucleotide transfer RNA is filed under the name Candidatus Woesearchaeota archaeon. Its description in RNAcentral is "tRNA-Gly". The record is from RNAcentral. Lineage: Archaea; Nanobdellati; Candidatus Woesearchaeota.